UACAGUGAGGCCCUUCUGAUCAACACUGCAGCCUGUACGAUGUCUUCAGAAAGGAAGCUCCACCUAGCAGGCUGAUUCUUGCUGCCAGAAAGAUUGAUCAGUACAUGUCAGUGUUGUGCUGCUUCACUGAUUGCCCGUGUUUCCUCAAAGGAGAUGUAAAUGCACAGGCUCAUAGCUGGUUACAUUUCCUUUCAGAGAUAACAAGGCUCCCUGGAGGAGACAACAUCAAAAAUCACAGGAUUAUCCAUCAGCCAAGAGGAUGAGAACUGCCAGUCCUGUGACAACCACAGCAUCUUCUCUGAGAACUAAGCUGUGUGAAUGGAUGCUAACAUGACUGGAAGACAAUUCCUCCAGGAAUCAUCUUCAGCCUUCUGCAAAACAGAAAUGCUAUGACAAGAAGAUAGUGAAAAUGAGUAAUUAGACCUUGAGCUGCAGGUGAUAUGCACUGUGAAACAUUUGGAUACCUUUCAAGAGGAUGCAUCAUGAUCACUGCUGCCUUCCUGGGGAAACAGGGGCAACAGAUUUUAGCCCAGCACAGAGGAUAAGGCAAGUAAUUCUGCUCCAGUACAAGUAGAGAACAAAAUCUCCAAUAAUAACUAGAGAACACUUACACUUGAGGUGAGUUUGGUCUUGUUAA
Molecule: non-coding RNA, 637 nt
Organism: Cyanistes caeruleus (blue tit)
Lineage: Eukaryota; Metazoa; Chordata; Aves; Passeriformes; Paridae
Source: RefSeq, a predicted model, not a curated record